Molecule: ribosomal RNA, 425 nt
Filed under: uncultured Gammaproteobacteria bacterium
Lineage: Bacteria; Pseudomonadati; Pseudomonadota; Gammaproteobacteria
Description: bacterial SSU rRNA
Rfam family: Bacterial small subunit ribosomal RNA
Source: RNAcentral
GGGGAAAAUUGCACAAGGGGGGAAACCCUGCUGCCGCCAUGCCGCGUGUGUGACGAAGGCCGUCGGGGUGAAAAACACUUUCAGUCCUGAGGAAGGUGGUGUAGCUAAGAUGUGCACCAAUUUAAGGUGCUGACGGAAGAAGCACAGGAUAAUUCCGUGCCAGCAGCCGCGGUAAUACGGAGGGUGCGAGCGUAAUCGGAAUUACUGGGCGUAAAGCGUGCGCAGGCGGUUUGUUAAGCGAGAUGUGAAAGCCCCGGGCUCAACCUGGGAUGGUCAUUUCGAACUGGCAAGCUAGAGUCUCGUAGAGGGGGGUAGAAUUCCAGGUGUAGCGGUGAAAUGCGUAGAGAUCUGGAGGAAUACCGGUGGCGAAGGCGGCCCCCUGGACGAAGACUGACGCUCAGGCACGAAAGCGUGGGGAGCAAACA